This is a long non-coding RNA of Oncorhynchus tshawytscha (Chinook salmon), 1034 nucleotides long. RefSeq lists it as uncharacterized. The record is from RefSeq and is a predicted model, not a curated record. Lineage: Eukaryota; Metazoa; Chordata; Actinopteri; Salmoniformes; Salmonidae. The transcript is spliced from 3 exons.
UGGGGCUGCAAUAGUCCCGAUCCGAGCAGCUGAAGAACAGACCCCGACGCCAGCACUCCUGACAACAGUAGGGUAGAUCUCUGCGGUGUAGAUGUAGACCACGGUGAACGACAUUGUGAAGGCAAACUUCCCAACCAUCUCCACAGCUAUAGCAACACCUUGCAGAUCUACAGGACAGAGAAAGACAUCGAGAUACAUCGUCUCUCAGUAUGGCCUCAGCCUCCUCUACUCUUCCCUGAGAGUAUAGCCAACGUGGAGACUCUGGGAUGAACCUGACAUAGACAGUGUUUAUAGUGAGGUAGAGGACGGAACACAGUGAUUGCAGGGAGAAACAGUACCUGUCAGAAAGCUGUCCAGACAACAGGGAUCCAAUCAGGAAACCCACAAAAAGAGUCGACGAGGCAAAAGGAGUUUUCCACUCAUUGUCACAUACAAGGUCCCACUGCAGGAAAACAAACCCAUUAUUCCUGAAGUGACAGCACCUGUGGCAGCAGAAGGCUCUAGUAACAAACCCAUGCUGAAAAACAACAUUUAAUUUGCCCCAAAAGUGUAAGAGAAGGACAGGAGCUGGGGAUGUUGCACAUUUUCACUGAUGCCAAUGGAAGUUUCAGGCAAUUACCAAAGCCGUUAACACCUCCCCAGUGACGUUGAUCACUCAACAAUUCCCAAUACUGUAAUUCCAAAUCAAAUAUCAGUGGCAUGCAUGUUUGAUUAGAUACUCAUGAUUCUGGUAAUUAUCUAAGCAAGAAACAUACUAGGUGUAGUACUACCAAUUCACUAUUUCAUGGCCAAAUGUUUGUGACACAUGACUGCCCUGGGCAACAUAUACUCACCUCAGUGACUAUGGUGGACUGGUAUAUAUCUUUGCUGUAGCUCCAUCCAUCCACACAGCACUCCUGCUCCACCCCAGUGAGGUUGACGUCCAGGCCGGGGAUGUAGCCCAGAGCAGACAGGUUUCUGACCACAUCCAGCCUGUAUCUGCUGCACUUGCUCUCCUCCUCCUGUCCGUUCACCACCUCUAUGGGAAUGAUGGC